This 1184-nucleotide ribosomal RNA is filed under the name Thalassospira sp. RNAcentral describes it as "bacterial SSU rRNA". It matches the Rfam family "Bacterial small subunit ribosomal RNA", at positions 75 to 1296 of the family's 1533-position model. The record is from RNAcentral. Lineage: Bacteria; Pseudomonadati; Pseudomonadota; Alphaproteobacteria; Rhodospirillales; Thalassospiraceae.
UACCUUCGGGUACUGGAGAGUGGCGCACGGGUGAGUAACGCGUGGGGACCUACCUCUUAGUGGGGGAUAACGGUUGGAAACGACCGCUAAUACCGCAUACGCCCUUCGGGGGAAAGAUUUAUCGCUAAGAGAUGGACCCGCGUUGGAUUAGAUAGUUGGUGAGGUAACGGCUCACCAAGUCGGCGAUCCAUAGCUGGUUUGAGAGGAUGAUCAGCCACACUGGGACUGAGACACGGCCCAGACUCCUACGGGAGGCAGCAGUGGGGAAUAUUGGACAAUGGGGGCAACCCUGAUCCAGCCAUGCCGCGUGAGUGAAGAAGGCCUUCGGGUUGUAAAGCUCUUUCAGAUGCGAAGAUGAUGACGGUAACAUCAGAAGAAGCCCCGGCUAAUUUCGUGCCAGCAGCCGCGGUAAUACGAAAGGGGCUAGCGUUGUUCGGAUUUACUGGGCGUAAAGGGCACGCAGGCGGUCUUGCCAGUCAGGGGUGAAAGCCCGGGGCUCAACCCCGGAACUGCCUCUGAUACUGUGAGACUAGAGACUAGGAGAGGGUGGUGGAAUUCCCAGUGUAGAGGUGAAAUUCGUAGAUAUUGGGAGGAACACCAGAGGCGAAGGCGGCCACCUGGACUAGAUCUGACGCUCAGGUGCGAAAGCGUGGGGAGCAAACAGGAUUAGAUACCCUGGUAGUCCACGCCGUAAACGAUGAGUGCUAGUUGUCGGGACUUCGGUUUCGGUGACGCAGCUAACGCAUUAAGCACUCCGCCUGGGGAGUACGGUCGCAAGAUUAAAACUCAAAGGAAUUGACGGGGGGCCCGCACAAGCGGUGGAGCAUGUGGUUUAAUUUGAAGCAACGCGCAGACCCUUACCAACCCUUGACAUCCAUAUCCAGAUUACCAGAGAAGGUUUUCAUCAGUUCGGAUGGAUAGGUGACAGGUCCUGCAUGGCGGUGGUCAGUUUGUGUCGUGAGAUGUUGGGUUAAGUCCCUCAACGAGCGCAACCCCUGUUCCUAGUUGCCAGCAUUCAGUUGGGCACUCUAGGGAGACUGCCGGUGACAAGCCGGAGGAAGGCGGGGAUGACGUCAAGUCCUCAUGGCCCUUACGGGUUGGGCUACACACGUGCUACAAUGGUAACUCCAGAGGGCAGCGACUUAGCGAUAAGUAGCCAAUCCCAAAAAGUUAUCUCAGUUCGG